CAGCCGCCGCGGUAAUACGAAGGGGGCUAGCGUUGUUCGGAUUUACUGGGCGUAAAGCGCACGUAGGCGGACUUUUAAGUCAGGGGUGAAAUCCCGGGGCUCAACUCCGGAAUUGCCUUUAAGACUGCCGAGCUAGCAGGUGAGAGAGGUAAGUGGAAUUCCGAGUGUAGAGGUGAAAUUCGUAGAUAUUCGGAAGAACACCAGUGGCGAAGGCGGCUUACUGGCUCAUACUGGACGCUGAGGUGCGAAAGCGUGGGGAGCAAACAGGAUUAGAGACCCCGGUAGUCCCUGUCUCUUAUAU
This 301-nucleotide ribosomal RNA is filed under the name uncultured bacterium. RNAcentral's name for it is "partial 16S ribosomal RNA". It matches the Rfam family "Bacterial small subunit ribosomal RNA", at positions 509 to 809 of the family's 1533-position model. The record is from RNAcentral.